UUUGAGCCAGUGUGACUUUCAUCUGGGGCAUUGGCAGCUAAUCAGAGACAAGUUAUGGAAAAUUUGGAUGAGGAAGUGGGACCUAAGGAGUGUUUGGAGAUGGAAUCUGUCGAAAGGAUAGGGGACAAGGAACAUAUACAAGGCAUAUUAAGCACUUGAAGGAAAGAGAUGAUCGCUGGAUAGCUACAAUCUUAGACCCUCUAUAUGAAGCCAAAAUGGAGGAAUUUUUUUCUCACCUUCCAAGAGGAGGGAUAAACUGGAUUUUUAUAUGGAGAAGCCACAGCUUUUUAGCAGCAAAACCUGAUGGACAGGGGUUAAUUCUCCACUCCUCGCUAAGUCAAGGCUCCACUUCCUCUGCCAGCACUACCCCUGCAAGAGGCAGGAAAAGUAGCAGCACUCCAUGCGAGUCCCGGCUCCGAUCUGCUGAUAGAGUCUGCUGUGACAGGUUUUAGACACUUUUGUAGUAAUGCAGGCUGCAGAAGUCGAGUCAGGGGAAGCCAGGAUGGGGGAGGAAGAUUCCGUACAGGCUGCAUGAUGCUGGCCAGGCAGACAUCAGAGAGCACAUGAAGAGGGAAUUCCCUUCUCUUGUCCUUGUCCCAACUCCAGAAGCCCCAGCUCCCUUUACUGCUCUCCUUACAUGAUGUGUGUGGCAACCCUUUCUACCAGAGCCCCUUAGUAGAAGAUUAAUAAAGAGCAUUGGAUGCCAUUUUGUCAUGCACCAUUCAAUUAAUAGUUUGGAAAAUUCUGCA
Hyla sarda is the source of this 749-nucleotide long non-coding RNA. RefSeq lists it as uncharacterized. NCBI's taxonomy places the organism in Eukaryota, Metazoa, Chordata, Amphibia, Anura, Hylidae. The record is from RefSeq and is a predicted model, not a curated record. The transcript has 3 exons.